AUGGUUAACAGUAAUACCAUUUUCCAUAGGAAAUUCAUUUGGAAGUUGAAGGUUCCAUUAAGGAUUAAGAUCUUUAUAUGGUACCUAUGAAGGGGGCUGAUUCUAACUAGAGAUAAUUUAGCCAAGCGCAACUGGCAAGGUAGCAAAUGGUGUUGUUUUUGUGAUCAACAUGAAACAAUACAAUAA
RNAcentral lists this ribosomal RNA (186 nucleotides) under Triticum aestivum (bread wheat). Its description in RNAcentral is "partial small subunit ribosomal RNA". Lineage: Eukaryota; Viridiplantae; Streptophyta; Magnoliopsida; Poales; Poaceae. The record is from RNAcentral.